UACGAAGGGAGCUAGCGUUGUUCGGAAUCACUGGGCGUAAAGCGCACGUAGGCGGAUCUUUAAGUCAGGGGUGAAAUCCCGGAGCUCAACUCCGGAACUGCCUUUGAUACUGAAGACCUUGAGUCCGGGAGAGGUGAGUGGAACUGCGAGUGUAGAGGUGAAAUUCGUAGAUAUUCGCAAGAACACCAGUGGCGAAGGCGGCUCACUGGCCCGGUACUGACGCUGAGGCACGAAAGCGUGGGGAGCAAACAGG
This 253-nucleotide ribosomal RNA is filed under the name uncultured bacterium. Its description in RNAcentral is "partial 16S ribosomal RNA". It matches the Rfam family "Bacterial small subunit ribosomal RNA", at positions 524 to 776 of the family's 1533-position model. The record is from RNAcentral.